AUUGAACGCUGGCGGCAGGCCUAACACAUGCAAGUCGAGCGGAGCGGCGGACGGGUGAGUAAUGCCUAGGAAUCUGCCUGGUAGUGGGGGAUAACGUCCGGAAACGGGCGCUAAUACCGCAUACUAUCAGAUGAGCCUAGGUCGGGUUAGCUAUUUGGUGGGGUAAAGGCCUACCAAGGCGACGAUCCGUAACUGGUCUGAGAGGAUGAUCAGUCACACUGGAACUGAGACACGGUCCAAACUCCUACGGGAGCCAGCGGAGGGAAAUAUUGGACAAUGGGGGAAAGCCUGCUGAUGCCAUGCCGGUUGUGUAAGGAGGGUCUUCGGAUUUUAAAGCACUUUAAGUUAGGAGGCGUUACCAACAGAAUAAGCACCGGCUAACUUCGUGCCAGCAGCCGCGGUAAUAC
Molecule: ribosomal RNA, 407 nt
Filed under: uncultured bacterium
Lineage: Bacteria
Description: partial 16S ribosomal RNA
Rfam family: Bacterial small subunit ribosomal RNA
Source: RNAcentral